RNAcentral lists this ribosomal RNA (183 nucleotides) under uncultured bacterium. Its description in RNAcentral is "partial 16S ribosomal RNA". It matches the Rfam family "Bacterial small subunit ribosomal RNA", at positions 1319 to 1500 of the family's 1533-position model. The record is from RNAcentral.
CAUGAAGCUGGAAUCGCUAGUAAUCGCGGAUCAGAAUGCCGCGGUGAAUACGUUCCCGGGUCUUGUACACACCGCCCGUCACACCAUGGGAGUCGGAAAUGCCCGAAGCCGGUGACUCAACCUUUAAGGAGAGAGCCGUCGAAGGCAGGUCUGAUAACUGGGGCGAAGUCGUAACAAGGUAAC